UAUCUGGUUGAUCCUGCCAGUAGUCAUAUGCUUGUCUCAAAGAUUUAGCCAUGCAUGUCUCAGUAUAAGUUUUCACACAACGAAACUGCGAAUGGCUCAUUAAAACAGUUAUAGCCUACUUGAUAGUCAAUCGUUAUAUGGAUAACUGUGGCAAUUCUAGAGCUAAUACAUGCAUAAAGACCUGACUUCUCGGAAAGGUCGUAUUUAUUAGAUACAGAACCAAUCCCUUCGGGGUUUUUGGAUGAUUCAUAAUAAAUGAACGGAGCGCAUGACUUGUGUCGGCGCUGUUUCAUUCGAGUUUCUGACCUAUCAGCUUCCGACGGUAGGGUAUUGGCCUACCGUGGCAUUGACGGGUAACGGAGAAUUAGGGUUCGAUUCCGGAGAGGGAGCCUUAAAAACGGCUACCACAUCUAAGGAAGGCAGCAGGCGCGCAAAUUACCCAAUCCUGAUACAGGGAGGUAGUGACAAGAAAUAACACAGAGAGUGCUUAUCGCAUUUCUCUUUGGAAUGAGCAGAACUUAAAUCUCUUUUCGACUAUCAAUUUGGAGGGCAAGUCUGGGUGCCAGCAGCCGCGGUAAUUCCACUCCAAUAGCGUAUAUUAAAGUUGUUGCGGUUAAAAAGCUCGUAGUUUGGAUUUCUUGUCGAAGGACGGUCGG
Molecule: ribosomal RNA, 656 nt
Filed under: uncultured marine eukaryote
Lineage: Eukaryota
Description: SSU rRNA
Rfam family: Eukaryotic small subunit ribosomal RNA
Source: RNAcentral